AAGAAUUCACUUCUAGAACAUACUAUUUGAUGUAACUUGUAUCUCUCCCUAGAAAUCUGUAACAGAGUUACAGAAGGAACCCACGUGGAGUCCAAAGCCACAUACAAACGCAGCAUAUUGAGCUGACAAUUAAGAAUUAAGCCUGAUUCAUAACUUAAAAAACACUUUUGUUUUCAGUUAAUAAUUUGAAUUGAAAGAUAAUAGAAUUUUAAUGUGUUCUAUCUACAAG
Molecule: long non-coding RNA, 229 nt
Filed under: Panax ginseng (ginseng)
Lineage: Eukaryota; Viridiplantae; Streptophyta; Magnoliopsida; Apiales; Araliaceae
Description: long non-coding RNA (PGIN_LNC018619)
Source: RNAcentral